Molecule: non-coding RNA, 93 nt
Organism: Armillaria novae-zelandiae
Lineage: Eukaryota; Fungi; Basidiomycota; Agaricomycetes; Agaricales; Physalacriaceae
Source: the annotation of a GenBank genome assembly
AUGCUGAUGGUGAAACGGUUAUCAUGUUUGCCUUCCACCGGAGAAGCUAAGCUUGUAAGCAAGCGGUAGGGGUUCGACUCCCCCUUCGGCAUA